AUUCUCAACCCUCAAUGCUUUAUUGCAUUGCUUGGAGUUGGUCCUUGGGUGCUUGCCGUCUCUUACCGGGACAGCUCACCUCAAAUGUAUUAGCUGGACCCGUACUUCUUGUGUAGGUGUCCUCAACGUGAUAAAGUCAUUCGUUGAGGCGUGCAGGCAACUAACUGCCCUUACCUUUGUGUACAAGCGUCUGCUUCUAACCCGGCGAACGACUUGCCUUUUUGGCAAGUCUGACCCAUGACUUAAAG
This 248-nucleotide unclassified non-coding RNA is filed under the name Entyloma eschscholziae. Its description in RNAcentral is "partial internal transcribed spacer 2". The record is from RNAcentral. Lineage: Eukaryota; Fungi; Basidiomycota; Exobasidiomycetes; Entylomatales; Entylomataceae.